GUUUUGUGGCUCAGUGGUAGAGUGCUCGCCUAAUAUGUACGAGGCACUGGGUUUGAUCCUCAGCACCAUACA
RNAcentral lists this transfer RNA (72 nucleotides) under Marmota monax (woodchuck). Its description in RNAcentral is "tRNA.Ile". Lineage: Eukaryota; Metazoa; Chordata; Mammalia; Rodentia; Sciuridae. The record is from RNAcentral.